RNAcentral lists this long non-coding RNA (1513 nucleotides) under Medicago truncatula (barrel medic). RNAcentral's name for it is "lncRNA gene46759". The record is from RNAcentral. Lineage: Eukaryota; Viridiplantae; Streptophyta; Magnoliopsida; Fabales; Fabaceae.
UCUAUCACAAAGACUGGUCAGUUUCUUAAUUGUUGAGAGUUAUUAUUGUUGGCAUUAUCAUGGAUAUCCCACAAAAUCAGCAUUCAUAACAAUGAUUCAACUUUGUAUCUUUGAAUUUAUUGCUCCAGCUCAUGUAAUCUAGAUGCCUCGGACAUCAAAUUCUUUUGUAUAUAUACACUUGUGUAACAGCUUUGUAUAUAGUAAAAAUCAGCUUUCUACUAGAGAUAUAAUCUGUAACAGCGCCGUUAAAUAGGUGAAGGAUUGGAGUGCCAUGAUGUUUUAUGGCGGUGGCAGAUUUUCGGACCACUGCAGUGGCCAAUAGGUGAAGGAACGCGGUGCCAUGAUAUUUUAUUGCAGAUUUUUGGCUUUCUACUAUCGAUAACAUUGAUCUAUAGUAAAAAUUUAUGAUGUUGUCGGAUAAAGUUCUAUUGUCGGCUGCUGGUUGGAUACGUCUAUUUUCUAUAAAUUCAAUUGAUCUUCAUAUAUAGAUCGCAUUUUAGAAAAUGUGUUGACCUUCUACAGAACAGUUCAACAAUAGUGUUGUGUUUAAUAGCGGUCUUCAUUACUUAAUUCUUGUACCCAAAUUAACUUCUAGGAAAUAGAGGAGAAAAUUUAACGAAGCACCCUAGUUUGCAAUCAUAUGUACCAUUUGGUUUCGCUGGUCAUCCAUGGAUGAUGUUGGCAUUCUGCUCAGAAAAUGUUCUGGUGGCAUAUGUCGAGAAUAAGGAGCCGGAGGAGGUCUUGGAACCAUUUUCUUUGCCCUUCCCGUUGCACGACUUUUGUCCAUAGAGCAAAGAAGGAAGAAAAUAAAAAACAAAUAUGAUUAAUCAUCAACAGCAAAUUUUAACAAAUAGUUGCCUGAAAGAAAACCACCUAAUGAAAAGCUACCGAGUGUAUUAAAACUCACCCAAGUAAUCCGAGCUCAAGAGCUGCUUUAUAUUGGAAAGGUAUCUCCAUAAGAGCAGCCAGAGCAAAAGCAGCUUCUUUUGCAGAAGGGCUUAUUUUCUUAGACAUAAUGUCGGUGAAGUUAACAAACUGCAUAAAACAAGAAAGAUGCUUUAAUAUUUUUAACUAGGUGAUUGCAAACAAUGUAACUAAGUAAUGUAACUACUAUGCUAAUUUGCUGUAACCUGAAAAUUGUCGAAAUCGCGUGCAGGUAACUUGUCAUCAAACUUUUUCAUAUCUUCCCAAGGUCCAUCACCAACUCCAACCAGAACAAUAGAAAGAGGAUAUGAACUGAAAGCACAAAAAGUAUAAAACAGAUAAUUAAUGUUUGAUUAAGCAGUUGGCGCUGGUUCGUUUUUAUAGUUAACGAUACUUCUGUUAUCGUUAUUUAUAGCUAAUGCUAACUUCCAUUUUUGUUGAUAAUUCCUUUUUUUCCUAGAGCGGAUUCAUUUUACUGCAAAUGAUCUUGAUGAGCAUUUAAGGUUGCUUAUAAUUAUCAAUUUUGCAUAUUUACCUUGCAUCAGCGAUUGCUUUUAUUGUUUUCUCUUCUUGAGGACUAAGUUUCCCA